GACGAACGCUGGCGGCGUGCCUAAUACAUGCAAGUCGAACGCAGUGGGGCCGGGUGAGUAACACGUGGGUAACCUCCCAUCAGAGGGGAUAACACUUGGAAACAGGUGCUAAACCGAUACUGAUGGAUGGACCCGCGGUGCAUUAGCUAGUUGGUGAGGUAACGGCUCACCAAGGCCACGAUGCAUAGCCGACCUACGGUUGUGAUCUGCCACACUGGGACUGAGACUCGGCCCAGACUCCUAUGCGAGGCAGUAGUAGAGAAUGUUCGGCAAUGGACGAAAGUCUGACCACGCAACGCCGCGUGAGUGAAGAAGGUUUUCAGAUCGUAAAACUCUGUUGUUAUAGAAGCGGUAUCUAACCAGAAAGCCACGGCUAACUACGUGCCGGCAGCCGCGGUAAUAC
Molecule: ribosomal RNA, 403 nt
Filed under: uncultured bacterium
Lineage: Bacteria
Description: partial 16S ribosomal RNA
Rfam family: Bacterial small subunit ribosomal RNA
Source: RNAcentral